CGUCCUGGAAGGCUGUCCACAUCUUCGGUAUCAGCUAUACCAUCCAGUGCUGUGAGAGUGGCAGCUAAUGAGUUGCAUAAUCCUCCUAGGAGCCAAGAGAAUGGAGUUCCUGCUGACAAUCUGGGGCAGAGUUCACUUCGCACAGCACCUUGUGAAGUGGAAAGCACAGCUGACACGCCAACAGCAGCAACAUCGCCACACGCCUUUGCUGAGACUACUAGCUGUAGCCCCAACAAUGAGGAGUGUGAAGUGGCCACCGCGCUUCUGCAGCUAGCCGCCUGCAGCCAAGAUGUGGAGGAGAUCAUGAAGAGUACA
Molecule: long non-coding RNA, 315 nt
Organism: Rhipicephalus sanguineus (brown dog tick)
Lineage: Eukaryota; Metazoa; Arthropoda; Arachnida; Ixodida; Ixodidae
Exons: 3
Source: RefSeq, a predicted model, not a curated record